GAGAGAGCCCCCGGCUGCAUUUCUAUGCCUGCGGCACAACCAAAGGAGAAGGGGACAGAAGUUGUCGGUGCUGCACUGGGAUUUAAAAGCAAGGAAGAUCAAGUGUAAAGGAUCGGUUUCCCUAAGGUUUGGCUCCCCAACAAUCUGAAUCAUUAAAGCUGGGAAAAUGAGACCGGUCUACUUAACUGGCAAUCCGUAUUGGACUUCCAAGCUUCCAUAUGUCCAUCAUUUGACUGCACUCUGCGGGAAGGAAAGCCACACUGAAUAAGCACUCAUGUUAUCCUCGGCACAGCACCAUAAGGCCUCUUUUGGGUGCUCACACCCGCUGAUGGUUCAAGAGGGUAACAGUGAUGUCAUGCCCCAAGGACAGCUGCACGAGGAUGCCUGAGCCACCUUGCUGCAUUCCACUGGAUUUAUCAUCUAAGACUAUGCAAGAUGUUCAAAGGUCACCACUAAACAUCUUCCUCUCUCCAGAAUCCACACAGAGGCCAGAGACCGGCUUUAAAUAGAUGCCUCAGGCAACUAUAGGACCAAAGGCAUCCCAUCCAGCCUGGAAUACUGUGACUCAGCUUCUGCAAAACAAGUAAAACCUGAACUGUCCCAACCCAAGUCGUCAGUAUUUUACAUGUAAAAAUGCAUGGAAAACCCUGCAUCCUUUCAAGAAUCAUCACAUUAUACAAAAGAGGCAUUUAACUAUAUCAACUA
Long non-coding RNA from Jaculus jaculus (lesser Egyptian jerboa), 705 nucleotides. RefSeq lists it as uncharacterized. The record is from RefSeq and is a predicted model, not a curated record. The transcript is spliced from 4 exons. Lineage: Eukaryota; Metazoa; Chordata; Mammalia; Rodentia; Dipodidae.